RNAcentral lists this ribosomal RNA (619 nucleotides) under Mesanophrys sp. RNAcentral describes it as "SSU rRNA". It matches the Rfam family "Eukaryotic small subunit ribosomal RNA", at positions 365 to 997 of the family's 1831-position model. Lineage: Eukaryota; Ciliophora; Oligohymenophorea; Philasterida; Orchitophryidae. The record is from RNAcentral.
CAGGAUAGAGGUUCGAUUCCGGAGAGGGAGCCUGAGAAACGGCUACCACAUCUAAGGAAGGCAGCAGGCGCGUAAAUUACCCAAUCCCGACUCAGGGAGGUAGUGACAAGAAAUAACGGACCGAAGCUUUUGUUUCGGGAUUGCAAUGAGUAGAAUUUAAACCCCUUUGCGAGGAUCAAUUGGAGGGCAAGUCUGGUGCCAGCAGCCGCGGUAAUUCCAGCUCCAAUAGCGUAUAUUAAAGUUGUUGCAGUUAAAAAGCUCGUAGUUGGAUUUCUGGGAGGGAGCCGAUGUCCGCUUGUUAGCGUGCGCAGAGGCACCCUUCCAUCCUUCUGUUAACGUUUCUCGGUAUUCAUUUACUGGUUUCGGGCUCAGAUAUUUUACCUUGAGAAAAUUACAGUGUUUCAGGCAGGCUUGCGCCGGAAUACAUUAGCAUGGAAUAAUAGAAUAGGACUUUAGUCUCCUUUGUUGGUUUGAGGGACUGAAGUAAUGAUUAAUAGGGAUAGUUGGGGGCAUUAGUAUUUAAUUGUCAGAGGUGAAAUUCUCGGAUUUGUUAAAGACUAACUUAUGCGAAAGCAUUUGCCAAGGAUGUUUUCAUUAAUCAAGAACGAAAGUUACGGGA